This is a long non-coding RNA of Capra hircus (goat), 409 nucleotides long. RefSeq lists it as uncharacterized. The record is from RefSeq and is a predicted model, not a curated record. Lineage: Eukaryota; Metazoa; Chordata; Mammalia; Artiodactyla; Bovidae. The transcript is spliced from 3 exons.
CUCAGGGAUCUCUUGUCAAAGGACGACAGAGACCUGGAUUCUGCCCAGAGGUGCCCAAAGGUACUAUGGGAAUUUGUGUUGAAAUGUGCUCAGGAGAUGAUUCCUGUCCUGAGGGAGCGAAAUGCUGCAGCAAUGGGUGUGGUCACGUCUGCAAAACUGCUGUCUUCAGAGUUGGCUCUGGUGGCCGUGGGAAAGCUGGGCUGGACAGUUAUUGAGCAUACCUGAAGAACAGCACCUGAAGAUUUCUUAUGAAUCCACGAAUUCGAUGCUUGGCAUAACAAGACUUCCAUAUCCAUUCCUUGCUCUUUCCUUUGCCUGGAAUUGUAGCCCUGGGGGAUAAAGAUCUAAAAUGGUGCAGGGGCUGUUUCUAAAAACACUUGUGUUCAAAAUAAACUAAAUCUGUGGCAUA